RNAcentral lists this ribosomal RNA (497 nucleotides) under uncultured bacterium. RNAcentral's name for it is "partial 16S ribosomal RNA". It matches the Rfam family "Bacterial small subunit ribosomal RNA", at positions 28 to 507 of the family's 1533-position model. The record is from RNAcentral.
GAUGAACGCUGGCGGCGUGCCUAAUACAUGCAAGUCGAGCGAACGGACGAGAAGCUUGCUUCUCUGAUGUUAGCGGCGGACGGGUGAGUAACACGUGGAUAACCUACCUAUAAGACUGGGAUAACUUCGGGAAACCGUAGCUAAUACCGGAUAAUAUUUUGAACCGCAUGGUUCAAAAGUGAAAGACGGUCUUGCUGUCACUUAUAGAUGGAUCCGCGCUGCAUUAGCUAGUUGGUAAGGUAACGGCUUACCAAGGCAACGAUGCAUAGCCGACCUGAGAGGGUGAUCGGCCACACUGGAACUGAGACACGGUCCAGACUCCUACGGGAGGCAGCAGUGGGGAAUCUUCCGCAAUGGGCGAAAGCCUGACGGAGCAACGCCGCGUGAGUGAUGAAGGUCUUCGGAUCGUAAAACUCUGUUAUUGGGGAAGAACAUAUGUGUAAGUAACUGUGCACAUCUUGACGGUACCUAAUCAGAAAGCCACGGCUAACUACGUG